GGGCAGUUAGCUCAGCGGGAGAGCACCUGCCUUACAAGCAGGGGGCCGGCAGUUCGAUCCUGCCACUGCCCACCA
RNAcentral lists this transfer RNA (75 nucleotides) under Neomoorella mulderi. RNAcentral describes it as "tRNA-Val". It matches the Rfam family "tRNA". From Rfam's summary of the family: Transfer RNA (tRNA) molecules are approximately 80 nucleotides in length. Their secondary structure includes four short double-helical elements and three loops (D, anti-codon, and T loops). Further hydrogen bonds mediate the characteristic L-shaped molecular structure. tRNAs have two regions of fundamental functional importance: the anti-codon, which is responsible for specific mRNA codon recognition, and the 3' end, to which the tRNAs corresponding amino acid is attached (by aminoacyl-tRNA synthetases). tRNAs cope with the degeneracy of the genetic code in two manners: having more than one tRNA (with a specific anti-codon) for a particular amino acid; and 'wobble' base-pairing, i.e. permitting non-standard base-pairing at the 3rd anti-codon position. The record is from RNAcentral. Lineage: Bacteria; Bacillati; Bacillota; Clostridia; Neomoorellales; Neomoorellaceae.